GCUCAGCUAUUGAAAGAGAUUAUUAGAGACUCAAGAUCCUGUAUGGAGCAAGAUCUCAAAACGGAGCACUUUACCCAAAGAGAAAAAGAUAUUUUUAUCAAUUUUAAUUUUGCAUUUAGCUAAAGAUCUUGGAAAUGAUGCCAAAUUUUGAUAUAUCUGGAUAAACAUUUUCUAUGUUGAUUAUAAUUAAGAGUUAUAGUCUACAGCAUGUGUAGUCAUAACUAUCGUAUUCGCACUCUAUGAGUUACAUGGCUUUGUCUAUGACUUGUAUAGAUAAAGCUAUUUGUAGAAACUUUUCACAUAAUCAAUUUACUUUUACUUACAAAAAAAAAAAACAUCACAGGAUUUCGGUCCUAUUGUGUUGGCCUUCGGGAUCGGGGGCAUUCGUAUUUCAUAGUCAGAGGUGAAAUUCUUGGAUUUCUGAAAGACGAACCACUGCGAAAGCAUUUGCCAAGGAUGUUUUCAUUAAUCAAGAACGAAAGUUGGGGGCUCGAAGACGAUCUGAUACCGUCCUAGUCUCAAUCAUAAACGAUGCCGACUAGGGAUCGGCGGAUGUUGCUCUUAGGACUCCACCGGCACCUUAUGAGAAAUCAAAGUCUUUGGGUUCCGGGGGGAGUAUGGUCGCAAGGCUGAAACUUAAAGGAAUUGACGGAAGGGCACCACCAGGAGUGGAGCCUGCGGCUCAAUUUGACUCAACAUGGGGAAACUUACCAGGUCCAGACAUAGCAAGGAUUGAUAGACUAAGAGCUCUUUCUUGAUUCUAUGGGUGGUGGUGCAUGGCCAUUCUUAGUUGGUGGAGUGAUUUGUCUGGUUAAUUCCGAUAACGAACGAGACCUCAGCCUGCUAACUAGCUAUGCGGAGGCAUCCCUCCGCGGCCAGCUUCAUAGAGGGACUAUGGACGUUUAGGCCACGAAAGUUUGAGGCAAUAACAGGUCUGUGAUGCCCUUAGAUGUUCUGGGCGCGCAUGCCUUUAAUCGAUGUAUUCAACGAGUCUAUAGCCUUGGCCCGCGGACCCGAGUAAUCUUUGAAAAUUUCAUCGUGAUGGGGAUAGAUCAUUGCAAUUGUUGGUCUUCAACGAGGAAUUCUAGUAAGCGCGAGUCAUCAUUUCGCGUGGACUACGUCCCCGCCCUUUUGUACACACACCGCCGCCCGUCGCUCCUACCGAUUGAAUGGUCCGGUGAAGUGUUUGGAUCAAAGGCGGCGAGGCGGGCGUUCGCCGCCCCCGGCGUCCACGAAGAAGUCCACUGAACCUUAUCAUUUAGAGGAAGGAGAAGUCGUAACUAAGGUUUCCGUAGGUGAACCUCGCGAAA
This 1310-nucleotide ribosomal RNA is filed under the name Musa schizocarpa. RNAcentral describes it as "SSU rRNA". It matches the Rfam family "Eukaryotic small subunit ribosomal RNA". The record is from RNAcentral. Lineage: Eukaryota; Viridiplantae; Streptophyta; Magnoliopsida; Zingiberales; Musaceae.